AUCUUAAAAUCCAAAUACCGCAUCAGCCAAAAAUUUUGAAAAUGAUCACAAUAAUCUUAAGUAAUAUAUAGCCAUUCAAGAAAAAUAUAAAAAAAAAUUUGUGCAUCCUUUUUCAAUUUUGAUCUUGUAGAUGAGGCAAAGAAUUUUACCAUUGCCGUUAAUUUAAUUGAGUACAAAUAUAAAUUUUAGGAUGUAAAUAUUAUUAAUGUAAACUUUAAAAAAAAUUAUAAUUUACUCACUAUAAAAUUUAUCUACAGUUUUAUUUUUGUCAAAAUAAGGAUGGAAGAGAUCAAGAAGCUGGCUCCACUGGUUUGGCACCUCUCAACUGGGAGAAGUCCAAGUUUAGAUGACGGUGGCAUCUCUUAUUAGAGAGGAAAAAAGGAUGCACCUAUCAACCC
RNAcentral lists this long non-coding RNA (398 nucleotides) under Elaeis guineensis (African oil palm). Its description in RNAcentral is "long non-coding RNA (EGUI_LNC041420)". Lineage: Eukaryota; Viridiplantae; Streptophyta; Magnoliopsida; Arecales; Arecaceae. The record is from RNAcentral.